AGGGGUCUUUUGGUGAGAUUGUGAAGGCCUCUUGAUGUGGAACACCUGUAGCUAUGAAACGCAUUCUUCCUUCUCUUUCAGAUGAUAGAUUGGUGAUCCAGGAUUUCAGGCAUGAGGUGAAUUUGCUAGUGAAGCUGCGCCACCCCAAUAUUGUCCAAUUCCUUGGAGCAGUCACUGAUAAGAAGCCGCUGAUGUUGAUCACUGAGUAUCUACGAGGGGGUGAUCUUUACCAAUACCUCAAGCAAAGG
This is a long non-coding RNA of Telopea speciosissima, 248 nucleotides long. RefSeq lists it as uncharacterized. The record is from RefSeq and is a predicted model, not a curated record. NCBI's taxonomy places the organism in Eukaryota, Viridiplantae, Streptophyta, Magnoliopsida, Proteales, Proteaceae. The transcript has 3 exons.